ACUAUUGUCACGGGUUACCGCGGCUGCUGGCACGGAGUUAGCCGGUGCUUCUUCUGUGAGUGAUGUCCUUCCUGCCGGCUAUUAACCCGCAGGCCUUCUUCCUCACUGAAAGUGCUUUACAACCCGAAGGCCUUCUUCACACACGCGGCAUGGCUGGAUCAGGGUUGCCCCCAUUGUCCAAUAUUCCCCACUGCUGCCUCCCGUAGGAGUCUGGGCCGUGUCUCAGUCCCAGUGUGGCUGAUCAUCCUCUCAGACCAGCUACGGAUCGUCGCCUUGGUGAGCCGUUACCUCACCAACCAGCUAAAUCCGACAUAGGCUCAUCCGAUAGCGCGAGGCCCGAAGGUCCCCCGCUUUCCCCCGUAGGGCGUAUGCGGUAUUAGCCUGGGUUUCCCCAGGUUACUCCCCAC
RNAcentral lists this ribosomal RNA (407 nucleotides) under uncultured bacterium. Its description in RNAcentral is "partial 16S ribosomal RNA". The record is from RNAcentral.